RNAcentral lists this long non-coding RNA (243 nucleotides) under Olea europaea (common olive). RNAcentral's name for it is "long non-coding RNA (OEUR_LNC007301)". The record is from RNAcentral. Lineage: Eukaryota; Viridiplantae; Streptophyta; Magnoliopsida; Lamiales; Oleaceae.
AUGGUUAUGAUCUUGCCAAGUGUCGUAUUACUCACCAUUGGAUUGCAAGACUUCUAGGGCCUUCUACUUAACCCUCAUUAGGGUUCCUAGAUGGUGCUAGAAUCUGGAUUUUUCACUCUCUCUCUCUUAUUUCGCCGCUUCAUCUCUCUCAAGAGAUGAUUCUUCUUCUUUCGAUCUAAAGAAUCUGUCCAAAAAAGCUUCCUUCGAUAUUAGCCCCAAAAUUGUAUAAUCUUGAGUGAUUUG